GCCUCGGUGGCGGAAUUGGUAUACGCGCACGACUCAAAAUCGUGUAUCGCAAGGUGUGAGGGUUCGACCCCCUCCCGAGGCA
This is a non-coding RNA of Candidatus Kaiserbacteria bacterium, 82 nucleotides long. Lineage: Bacteria; Candidatus Kaiseribacteriota. The record is from Rfam.